RNAcentral lists this ribosomal RNA (274 nucleotides) under Bacillus anthracis (anthrax bacterium). RNAcentral's name for it is "partial 16S ribosomal RNA". It matches the Rfam family "Bacterial small subunit ribosomal RNA", at positions 186 to 453 of the family's 1533-position model. Lineage: Bacteria; Bacillati; Bacillota; Bacilli; Caryophanales; Bacillaceae. The record is from RNAcentral.
CCGCAUGGUUCGAAAUUGAAAGGCGGCUUCGGCUGUCACUUAUGGAUGGACCCGCGUCGCAUUAGCUAGUUGGUGAGGUAACGGCUCACCAAGGCAACGAUGCGUAGCCGACCUGAGAGGGUGAUCGGCCACACUGGGACUGAGACACGGCCCAGACUCCUACGGGAGGCAGCAGUAGGGAAUCUUCCGCAAUGGACGAAAGUCUGACGGAGCAACGCCGCGUGAGUGAUGAAGGCUUUCGGGUCGUAAAACUCUGUUGUUAGGGAAGAACAAG